Molecule: ribosomal RNA, 396 nt
Filed under: uncultured bacterium
Lineage: Bacteria
Description: partial 16S ribosomal RNA
Rfam family: Bacterial small subunit ribosomal RNA
Source: RNAcentral
AUACGGGGGAUUCAAGCGUUAUCCGGACUUAUUGGGUUUAAAGGGUGCGUAGGCUGAUAAAUCAGUCAGCGGUGAAAUUUACGGGCUUAACUUGUAGCUUGCCGUUGAAACUAUUUAUCUAGAGAUAUUUCGGCGUAUGCGGAAUGUAUCAAGUAGCGGUGAAAUGCAUAGAUAUGCUACAGAACACGAAUCGCGAAGGCAGCAUACGAGGCAUCAUCUGACGCUGAUGCACGAAAGCGUGGGGAGCAAACAGGAUUAGAUACCCUGGUAGUCCACGCUGUAAACGAUGAAUACUAGGUGUGGGGGGACUGACCCCCUCCGUGCCGCAGUUAACACAAUAAGUAUUCCACCUGGGGAGUACGAUCGCAAGAUUGAAACUCAAAGGAAUUGACGGGG